This 275-nucleotide ribosomal RNA is filed under the name uncultured Rhodobacterales bacterium. RNAcentral's name for it is "partial 16S ribosomal RNA". It matches the Rfam family "Bacterial small subunit ribosomal RNA", at positions 505 to 779 of the family's 1533-position model. The record is from RNAcentral. Lineage: Bacteria; Pseudomonadati; Pseudomonadota; Alphaproteobacteria; Rhodobacterales.
GUGCCAGCCGCCGCGGUAAUACGGAGGGGGCUAGCGUUGUUCGGAAUUACUGGGCGUAAAGCGCACGUAGGCGGAUCAGAAAGUUGGGGGUGAAAUCCCGGGGCUCAACCUCGGAACUGCCUUCAAAACUAUUGGUCUUGAGUUCGAGAGAGGUGAGUGGAAUUCCGAGUGUAGAGGUGAAAUUCGUAGAUAUUCGGAGGAACACCAGUGGCGAAGGCGGCUCACUGGCUCGAUACUGACGCUGAGGUGCGAAAGCGUGGGGAGCAAACAGGAUU